Molecule: non-coding RNA, 24 nt
Filed under: Drosophila erecta
Lineage: Eukaryota; Metazoa; Arthropoda; Insecta; Diptera; Drosophilidae
Also listed under: 1 other name
Source: RNAcentral
UGUUUGAGUCAGGAGGUUCUGUGC